GUAGAGUUUGUAGUCCUGGCUCAGAUUGUAACGCUGGCGGCGAUGCUUUACUACAUGCAAGUCGAACGGUAACAGGUCUUCGGAUGCUGACGAGUGGCGAACGGGUAGAGUAAUACAUCGGAACGUGCCUAGUAUGGGGGAGUAACUACUCGAAAGAGUAGCUAAUACCGCAUGAGAUCUACGGAUGAAAGCAGGGGACCUUCGGGCCUUGUGCUACUAGAGCGGCUGAUGGCAGAUUAGGUAGUUGGUGGGGUAAAGGCUUACCAAGCCUGCGAUCUGUAGCUGGUCUGAGAGGACGACCAGCCACACUGGGACUGAGACACGGCCCAGACUCCUACGGGAGGCAGCAGUGGGGAAUUUUGGACAAUGGGCGAAAGCCUGAUCCAGCAAUGCCGCGUGCAGGAUGAAGGCCCUCGGGUUGUAAACCGCUUUUGUACGGAACGAAAAGCCUGGGGCUAAUAUCCCCGGGUCAUGACGGUACCGUAAGAAUAAGCACCGGCUAACUACGUG
This 510-nucleotide ribosomal RNA is filed under the name uncultured Comamonas sp. RNAcentral's name for it is "bacterial SSU rRNA". It matches the Rfam family "Bacterial small subunit ribosomal RNA", at positions 1 to 507 of the family's 1533-position model. Lineage: Bacteria; Pseudomonadati; Pseudomonadota; Betaproteobacteria; Burkholderiales; Comamonadaceae. The record is from RNAcentral.